This 1129-nucleotide long non-coding RNA is filed under the name Gouania willdenowi (blunt-snouted clingfish). RNAcentral describes it as "lncRNA (ENSGWIG00000021333.1)". Lineage: Eukaryota; Metazoa; Chordata; Actinopteri; Blenniiformes; Gobiesocidae. The record is from RNAcentral.
UUUCUAACAAAGAAAAAAACAUUUCUAGUUUUUUACCAACUGCGGUGGCUUAUAUUUAUAUAUAUAUAUUUAUAUGUGUUUCUGUUUAAGGUCAAGAUCGAGAAGUGGAGACCGAUACAGAGAUGGCGGUAGUUCGUCUUCACAUCGUUCACGACGCCAUCGCUCCUCUCGUUCCAGAGAAGAAGGAGGCGAACGGGAGCGCGACAGAGACAGAAAGCACAGACAUAAGGACGGACAUCGCUCACGCUCACACUCUCACCGACACAAAAGGAAGAGAUCCUCUAGAGAUCGAUCAUCUCACACCCGCGACAGGGAGCACUCGCCCUCCCAGGAGAGAUGGGCAGGAGGUGCAGCAGAGGAACUUCGUAACAACAGGGCUGAGAGUGGCGAGUGGGAGGACAAGGAGAAGUCCACGUCCCCCGACAUGUCCAGAGUCCAGGUCCUGGAGCAAUGCAAAUCUCAGUCGUUGGAGCGGGACCAGCGCUCCAGCUCUGAGGAGCGAGAGUCUGGGGAGAUAUGAACAAGAAGAACCUCCAAAGUCUCUGAUUUUGAUGUAUUUGGUUUAGAGAAUGAGCAUGGAGAUGUAAGAGUGUGUGUAUGUGUGAGGUUUUUCUUUUUGAAGCAGGAUGUGUACAUUCAACGGGGCGAGCGGUGUGAAGGUGAAGAGCUACAGCGGUGAUGGUCAAAAUCAUGCAUACAAACUUUUGUGCAAUUAUGCGAUUCUACAACUUACUGAGAGCAGCAUGGUCUCGUUUUUUAAAUGACAUUUAUUUCCCCUUCAUGUGCAGUUUUUCAUUACAAUGAGUGAAUGAUGCCAGAGCAACACAACAUGGACUCUGCUUUUAUAUUGUUUUCUGAGCAUGGAUAUUUUUAUCCUUUAUCUCUUCAGUCCAAAGAGGGAUGUACUCUUGUUUUUUAUUAUUUACACCGGUUAUCAGUGUGGAACAACUUGCUUUAAAAAUCGUACUAGCUGUCAAUGACUGGAUUCAUCUCAAAAUCUGAUUACAAAUGUGUUGCAGUUAAAUUUGCGAUAAAGAUCCUGAUACUGGUGAUUAAGUUUUGCCGGCUGCUGCUCCAGCAGGAAGACGUAUAUGGUGGGAAGUUUGUCGCUGUGCUGUCUUUAAAUGAA